Molecule: ribosomal RNA, 442 nt
Filed under: Geomyces sp. UFMGCB 5936
Lineage: Eukaryota; Fungi; Ascomycota; Leotiomycetes; Thelebolales; Pseudeurotiaceae
Description: eukaryotic LSU rRNA
Rfam family: 5.8S ribosomal RNA (bases 94-247)
Source: RNAcentral
CUGCCCUCGGGCUGCUGGCUCCGGCCGGCGAGCGUCUGCCAGAGGACCUAAACUCUGUUUGUCUAUAAUGUCUGAGUACUAUAUAAUAGUUAAAACUUUCAACAACGGAUCUCUUGGUUCUGGCAUCGAUGAAGAACGCAGCGAAAUGCGAUAAGUAAUGUGAAUUGCAGAAUUCAGUGAAUCAUCGAAUCUUUGAACGCACAUUGCGCCCCCUGGUAUUCCGGGGGGCAUGCCUGUCCGAGCGUCAUUACAACCCUCAAGCUCAGCUUGGUGUUGGGCCCCGCCGCCCCGGCGGGCCCUAAAGUCAGUGGCGGUGCCGUCCGGCUCCGAGCGUAGUAAUUCUUCUCGCUCUGGAGGUCCGGUCGUGUGCUUGCCAGCAACCCCCAAUUUUUUUCAGGUUGACCUCGGAUCAGGUAGGGAUACCCGCUGAACUUAAGCAUAU